UUACGGUCAUAUCAAGUUGAGACACUGGUUCUCCUAGGGUCACCGAAGAUAAGCAACGUCGAGCCGAGUCAUUACCUAGAUGAGUGACCUUUUGGGAAUACCAAGUGAUGUAAG
Acanthosepion pharaonis is the source of this 114-nucleotide non-coding RNA. The record is from the annotation of a GenBank genome assembly. NCBI's taxonomy places the organism in Eukaryota, Metazoa, Mollusca, Cephalopoda, Sepiida, Sepiidae.